RNAcentral lists this ribosomal RNA (440 nucleotides) under uncultured bacterium. RNAcentral's name for it is "partial 16S ribosomal RNA". It matches the Rfam family "Bacterial small subunit ribosomal RNA", at positions 338 to 795 of the family's 1533-position model. The record is from RNAcentral.
CCUACGGGGGGCAGCAGUGGGGAAUAUUGGACAAUGGGGGAAACCCUGAUCCAGCGACGCCGCGGGAGUGAAGAAGUAUUUCGGUACGUAAAGCGCUAGCAGCAGGAAAGAAAAUGACGGUACCUGACUAAGAAGCCCGGGUUAACUACGUGCCAGCAGCCGCGGUAAGACGAAGGGGGCAAGCGUUAUCCGGAUUUACGGGGGGGAAAGGGAGCGUAGCAGGCAGCGCAAGUCUGGAGUGAAAGGCCGGGGACCAACCCCGGAACUGCGCUGGCAACUGUGAAGCUGGAGUGCAGGAGAGGUAAGCGGAAUUCCUGGUGUAGCGGUGCACUGCGUAGAUAUCAGGAGGAACACCGGCGGCGAAGGCGGCUUACUGGACUGUAACUGACGUUGAGGCUCGAAGGCGUGGGGAGCAAACAGGAUUAGAUACCCCUGUAGUC